RNAcentral lists this ribosomal RNA (495 nucleotides) under uncultured bacterium. Its description in RNAcentral is "partial 16S ribosomal RNA". It matches the Rfam family "Bacterial small subunit ribosomal RNA", at positions 28 to 506 of the family's 1533-position model. The record is from RNAcentral.
GAUGAACGCUGGCGGCGUGCCUAAUACAUGCAAGUCGAGCGAACGGACGAGAAGCUUGCUUCUCUGAUGUUAGCGGCGGACGGGUGAGUAACACGUGGAUAACCUACCUAUAAGACUGGGAUAACUUCGGGAAACCGUAGCUAAUACCGGAUAAUAUUUUGAACCGCAUGGUUCAAAAGUGAAAGACGGUCUUGCUGUCACUUAUAGAUGGAUCCGCGCUGCAUUAGCUAGUUGGUAAGGUAACGGCUUACCAAGGCAACGAUGCAUAGCCGACCUGAGAGGGUGAUCGGCCACACUGGAACUGAGACACGGUCCAGACUCCUACGGGAGGCAGCAGUAGGGAAUCUUCCGCAAUGGCGAAAGCCUGACGGAGCAACGCCGCGUGAGUGAUGAAGGUCUUCGGAUCGUAAAACUCUGUUAUUAGGGAAGAACAUAUGUGUAAGUAACUGUGCACAUCUGGACGGUACCUAAUCAGAAAGCCACGGCUAACUACGU